Molecule: long non-coding RNA, 628 nt
Filed under: Homo sapiens (human)
Lineage: Eukaryota; Metazoa; Chordata; Mammalia; Primates; Hominidae
Description: HSALNT0319077
Source: RNAcentral
AGAGGACAACAGAACUUCACAAAUAGUGGAAGUGAAGGUUAGUAGCAAAUGUACUGUAAAUUAAAAUUUACUGAGUAAAACUGUAAUGGCAUAAAUUUGGCAUCUAUAUAAAACUGUCUUUUUAAGCUGACUCAUCUUUUUGUCAGUCAGUCUAGUUCUAAGCAUAUUGCUGAUGUGAUCGGCCUUUUAAUCAACCUGAAAGUGUCUCAUUUGUAAAGCGGUAGGGAGGGGAGAGGUUCAUCUGAGAAGUCAUCUUAGACUAUUGACCUGAUGCUUUCUGUAUGCUACAAAUAGAAGCGAAGUUUCGGAUCAUCCACUACUAUGGCCUUCUAUGCUCUAUUAUCUGUUGUAAUCAUUUAAAUAUAGGCUUUAUUAAGUAACAGAGAAAACGUGUAAGUAAUUUCUCCAGUUUACAUUUCUCUAGGAGUUGUAUUUAGAGCAGAUAAUACAUUGGAUCUAUCCAUAUGUAAGAAACAUUUUGAUGAACUAUAUCAAAGCCUUGGGAUUGGGUUAAUUGUGACAUUUGCUGACAUUGUGACUUUGAAAUCAGCUGAAAUUUUACAAAGAAAUUUAAAAACUGAAGAGUUUUAAACCUAAUAUAUUUGGGCAUUUUUUGAACACUUUUCUU